This 415-nucleotide ribosomal RNA is filed under the name uncultured bacterium. RNAcentral's name for it is "bacterial SSU rRNA". It matches the Rfam family "Bacterial small subunit ribosomal RNA", at positions 31 to 492 of the family's 1533-position model. The record is from RNAcentral.
GUACGCUGGCGGCACGCCUAACACAUGCAAGUCGAACGCAGUAGCAAUACUGAGUGGCAAACGGGUGAGUAUAAUGUGGGAAUCUGCCUUUUGGUUUGGAAUAACACGGGGAAACUUGUGCUAAUACCGAAUAAGCCCUUACGGGGAAAGUUUUAAUGCCGAAAGAUGAGCCCGCACUUGAUUAGCUAGUUGGUAAGGUAAAAGCUUACCAAGGCAACGAUCAAUAGCUGUUCUUAGAGGAAGACCAGCCACAUUGGGACUGAGACACGGCCCAGACUCCUACGGGAGGCAGCAGUGGGGAAUCUUGCACAAUGGGGGAAACCCUGAUGCAGCGAUGCCGCGUGAGUGAAGAAGGCCCUUGGGUUGUAAAACUCUUUCGUCGGGGAAGAAAAUGACUGUACCCGAAUAAGAAGGU